GGGGCCGGGCAGGCCGGGGCCGGGGCCGGGCGCGGGCAGCGGCGGGCAAGGGGAUAGAGCCCACCCCGACCCUUCCCUCCCGCCGCUCUCCGCAGCUGGCAGAGGACAGGAGCCGAGCGGCCGAGCACCUGCGCCAGGCCCUGCCCUACCAGCAGAGCCCACAGGAGCUCCUGCGAGAGGCGGGCGUCCGGUUCAUGGGGCUCGCCGGGCGGAGUUUGAGGGGGCAGCAGGAAGAGCUGUAGCUGAUCUGCAGAGCCCUUGAAGACGUGGCAGAUGACGCCAGCCUUGCUGUCCGAAUCCUGGCAAUUCAAACUUUGUACUUUCUCAGGGCAGUAGAGCAGCUUCUGAUAUCCGUGUUCCAGAGGCUGCGAGAUCAGCUCCACCGGGCAUGGAGAACACGGCCUCGUCUGUCAGGCCUCGGCUGGCUGCACUGCUGGAGCUCUGCGGGGAGCUGAUCUGGGAGGCUCUGUCUGCUGGGGCCACCUGAGCCAGCAGGGGUUUUCUUUUUCUUCAAGAUUGUUCUUUUCUUCUUUGUGUUUUACUUUAAUGUCGAAAUAUAGGAUGUGUU
Long non-coding RNA from Oenanthe melanoleuca, 568 nucleotides. RefSeq lists it as uncharacterized. The record is from RefSeq and is a predicted model, not a curated record. The transcript is spliced from 3 exons. Lineage: Eukaryota; Metazoa; Chordata; Aves; Passeriformes; Muscicapidae.